Molecule: ribosomal RNA, 211 nt
Filed under: uncultured bacterium
Lineage: Bacteria
Description: partial 16S ribosomal RNA
Rfam family: Bacterial small subunit ribosomal RNA
Source: RNAcentral
UGCGUAGGCGGUCGGGUAAGUCUGAUGUGAAAUCUCCAAGCUCAACUUGGAAAUGGCAUCGGAUACUAUUCGGCUCGAGGAAUGGAGGGGAGACUGGAAUACUUGGUGUAGCAGUGAAAUGCGUAGAUAUCAAGUGGAACACCAGUGGCGAAGGCGAGUCUCUGGACAUUUCCUGACGCUGAGGCACCAAAAGGGCCAGGGGAGGCAAACG